CUCUCUCUCUCUCUCUGUGUGUGUUGGUGGAGGCAGAUCUGUUCCACUGCUGGGUGCGGCACUGCAGAAGCCCUUCAGGGAGCACUUGGAGGCCCAGAAGGCCAAGCUGCACCAUCGCGCCGGAGAGGGGAUCCCAACUGAGGAGAACUGGCUGUCGUGGCUCUUUGAGAAGGUUGUGGUCAUCAUGGUAUGCUUCUUUGUCUGCUCCAUUGUCAACUCCAUGGCCCAGAGCUACGCCAAGCGCAGGCAGCGGGAGAAACAGUCAGAGGACAAGGCGGAGUGAAGGCCGGCCGUCAAUCACGGCAGACCAUCAACUUCCGAAGCUCCCACCUCUCUCCUCUCCCUCACGGCCGAUACCCCUCCAUUAUCUGAAGCAGCAUAUCAGCCCCCAUCGGGUUUCUCUCUUGUUAUUGUAGCAACAUGUUGAUGUUGAACUUGGACUUCCCCUCGGUCACUUUUUAAGGCUUUUGCAUUUGGUAGUAAUUUCUGCGAUUGUUCCCUGUAAGGUAGGUGCUUGUUGGGCUCUGUGUGAGUGUGUGUGUGGAGGCUGCUGUGUUGGUCCCAUGCAGUUGGUGCUUCGAGCAGCUCCUGAGCACGUGAGAAGAAGCUGCCGGCAAUAAUUCUCCUCAAUGAGGCCUAGAUGAGCCACUGCUGGUUUUACUAGAACAUCCUCCCAAGUCUCAUAUCUCCACAGAGUCACUUGAAUUAACUUUUUCUAGUUUAAGCUUGGAUAUUUGUUACUUUUGAUGAUGUGGUGAGUGUUCUGUAAAUCCAGUGGAUUGUUCAGUAACCUAUUUAUUUAUGAUUUAUAUUUAGUUAAUUUAUUGAUAAGAUAGUCUGUAUUUAUUACUGUCAAGAGUUGAACAGUAUUGGUUGUGGUUACUUAGGAGACGUAAAUGGACUGUAAGUCAUGAUGUGCUCUUCUGAGCCACCUAAUUUCGACACAUUGUGGAGUACUAAGUCAGCUGUACAUGUUAAUGAAUGUUUCACAGUGUCUGUGGUGCUUUGUGUGUGCGCAGUAAAGCACAUUUUGGUAGUUUUGGUUGAGAAAUGAGAAAUCGGCCAUGAAUCACCCUGCUUGUCCCUUUGUCUGCCCUUAUUGUUCUGCUUCCAGGAAGAGAGCACAUGAGUCAGCCUGAAGCUACUUUACCAGAUGCAGCCAUAUAUUGAAUCAGAUCUACGACUGUGUGUGUGUGAGACAAAGAGCAAGACAGAGAUAGUAGGUUGUGUUUGCGUGGCUGCCAAAUUUGUAGCUCUCUUUUAUCUUUUAUGGAUUAGAGCAGAUUGUGCUCCACUAAUAGACUGAGAGUCUGCCGGGAAGUGGUAGUGAGGCAGAUCGUAGGUGCUCGCUCGAACUCAGACAGUCUGUGUCAUGGUAAGUGUUUUUCUUUGUCUCCAAUUCUCCACCGAGCUUUUUUUUUUUUUUAUCCUUUUCACCCACGAUGAGGACAGAGAGCUCAUGUUUGACAUCACAUGAGCAGCUCCUAACACAGCAGCAUUUUAUAUGAUCCGUGUUCCGUUAUUUUUACCUUUUUUUGCUCGUGGGACGACAUCAGCCGGCUCUCAAUAUAUGCACUACCCUCUUUUUUCUGUAAUUGCCCGUGAAUUGUGCUAUUUUCUUCUCCGUCUCUGUACCGCUGCUGUGCUAUGCUGGACUGAGCGCAGUGGGCGCUAGAGCAGGCACAAGCGGGAGGGGGGAAAAAAAGCCUCAAGCGCACAGUGAAAAGCGUCUGUGCCGUUACCUCAGCUGAACCUUCAAAUGAACUCGUUGCACUGCCCCAGUCAUGGAGCCAGGAGACGAAUCACUCGAGUAGAUUCAAAACAGAGGGGCACUGUUGAGCAGGCUGAAGCCUCCGCUCUGCACCAGCUCUAGUCCAAACGUUCACCUCUCCUUUUCUCCUGUCAUGGUAAGUGGGAUUAGGAUUCUUUUGUUUAGCUUUUUUUUUUCAUUUCUUUUGUUUCUGUACAUGUGUCCGUGUGUACAUGUCUCAGGCAUGUCCGUCACUCUCUCGGCCUGUCAGAUAGCUUAUCAGACUGGUGUUGGCUGUUUAGUUUGCAAGGCGACAACAGUCUGUAGGCUGUCUGACAUUUCGGGCUCUUUCAUCUUGACCAGCAUCCUGUUUUGUCCUCCUUCUGUUACUGUCAUUGUCUCAGUUAGCAUCAGUUCCCAUUUAGAGGUGUGCUCUGCCGAUGUCACUUCCCUUUAUCCAAACCGCUUGUGAAACGUCAGAGACACGGGGCCAUUGUUUAUUUCCUCCUUGCUGACGCCUGUGAGGGAUUUAAUGUGGUUUCAUGUGGGGAACUGUGUCUUCACAUGUUUUGCAAAUGCUGAUGUCAAUUGUGUACUUCUGUAUUUGUACACGUGCAUGUGUGUGUGUGUGCGUGAAAGUUGGCUGUGUCCACACGAAUUUCCUGAGAAUCCAGACGGUACACACCUUAUUGCAACACAUCACAUUGUGACACCCAGUCCUAGGUACGGUACACGCAGUGCUCAAGCAGCUCUCCUCUUCCCUUUCACACUUCCCUCUUCUCUUCAACUCAGAACUUUCUUCUCUUGCUCAAUACGCACUUUUUUGUAGGAGGCUGCAGUUUAUUAUAACGACUCUCCUGAGAGAGAGUUUCUUUUUUUUUUUUCUCAGGGCCACACAUUGGUAAUUAUACAAAGCUUCAAAUCAUUGCUUGACCAGUGGAUGCUUUUUACUGCAGAGCCUCAGUUUUAUUUUAGAUUAUUCUUUUUUUUCUCCACCAGUGCAAAAGUGUAAAACUUUUUCCUGGUCAUAAAAACAAAAAUCAUUGGAUAACACUGGAAUGGCUCGCUGGCUUAGCGAGUGUUUUUCUUGGCAGUUUCAGGAUGUCCUGUUCCAUAAGGGAGCCCCCUUUUAGCAUGCCUGUCUGUGUGCGUGUGUGUGAGUGUGUGUGCCUACAUUUGUCUAGAAAAUGUGUUUCUAUUUCUAUGUGCAAGUGCCUGUAUCUCUCGUGUAUCAGUCUGUAACCGGGUCAUUUUAAAUGUGGAUGUAUGCACUGUAUUUUUUCUCUGCUUUCACUAUAAAUAAAGUUGGUCAGAAAAAGGA
Long non-coding RNA from Hippoglossus stenolepis (Pacific halibut), 3071 nucleotides. RefSeq lists it as uncharacterized. The transcript has 2 exons. Lineage: Eukaryota; Metazoa; Chordata; Actinopteri; Pleuronectiformes; Pleuronectidae. The record is from RefSeq and is a predicted model, not a curated record.